Molecule: long non-coding RNA, 405 nt
Organism: Poecile atricapillus (Black-capped chickadee)
Lineage: Eukaryota; Metazoa; Chordata; Aves; Passeriformes; Paridae
Exons: 3
Source: RefSeq, a predicted model, not a curated record
ACUCAUUGGGAGGUACCAGGAUCCUUGAUGUCCUGACUUUCUGUCCUUCCUCGAGUCUAACUAUUCAUGGACAGAGAAGACUGGGUCCUGGAGGGGCUGUGAGGGAGGAGCAAGAAGCACUGUGGACAGGCAGCUCUUGUUGAGCACCAGGCACCAGGCACAGGUCUGUAGGAAGUGAGUGCUGGGUGGGAGCUGUCUGCAGCUCCUUGAGCUGGGACUGAAGAGAUGUACCAACGCCUCCAAGCUUUCAGGUCUGUGCUCCUCCGUCCUGCACUGAAAUAGCAGGAUUUUGUUCUGCAUACCCCCAAGAGACCACGCUAUUUUAUUGCAUGAAGCUCUGCUCAGACCACAAAAGCUCUGAUGAAAAACUGAAAGCAACUGAAAGUUCUCUGAGACAUGUGAGCC